This 478-nucleotide ribosomal RNA is filed under the name uncultured bacterium. Its description in RNAcentral is "partial 16S ribosomal RNA". It matches the Rfam family "Bacterial small subunit ribosomal RNA", at positions 28 to 523 of the family's 1533-position model. The record is from RNAcentral.
GACGAACGCUGGCGGCGUGCUUAACACAUGCAAGUCGAACGGUAAGGCCCUUCGGGGUACACGAGUGGCGAACGGGUGAGUAACACGUGGGUGAUCUGCCCUGCACUUCGGGAUAAGCCUGGGAAACUGGGUCUAAUACCGGAUAGGACCACUGCCUGCAUGGGUGGUGGUGGAAAGCUUUUGCGGUGUGGGAUGGGCCCGCGGCCUAUCAGCUUGUUGGUGGGGUGAUGGCCUACCAAGGCGACGACGGGUAGCCGGCCGGCGAGGGGGACCGGCCACACUGGGACUGAGAUACGGCCCAGACUCCUACGGGAGGCAGCAGUGGGGAAUAUUGCACAAUGGGCGCAAGCCUGAUGCAGCGACGCCGCGUGAGGGAUGACGGCCUUCGGGUUGUAAACCUCUUUCAGCACCGACGAAGCGCAAGUGACGGUAGGUGCAGAAGAAGGACCGGCCAACUACGUGCCAGCAGCCGCCGUAA